Xenopus laevis (African clawed frog) is the source of this 957-nucleotide long non-coding RNA. RefSeq lists it as uncharacterized. The record is from RefSeq and is a predicted model, not a curated record. The transcript is spliced from 2 exons. NCBI's taxonomy places the organism in Eukaryota, Metazoa, Chordata, Amphibia, Anura, Pipidae.
AUUGCAAAUAGCACUUCUAAUAAUUACGCUGGCAUGCUGCCAAUGGUGGAACGUGAACCCUUUCGGAGUAAGCGUGUGGGCUUCGUCUAACCACUCUUAAUGGCACGGAUCAGCGUAUGCUCCACGUUGUCCGGUGCUGAUCUACAUACCAACUUUGGAGACUUUUUUUAAAGACAGCUGACACAUCGGCAAGAGGAAUUAAUCUAAAAGACUUUCCUAAUUAUCAACUUUUAUACUGCUCUUCAAUAUAGGCUAUGUCAGCACUGUUCAAUAGGCAGUAAACAGCCCACUGCUGUGACUGCUUACCUUUGUAUAAGCUUUAAAAUGUUAUCUGAACUGAAAUGAACUGGCACCAGCACUGUUUACACCUCAGAUUCAGGUUCUAAUGCCAUGCACUGUUCACACCUCAGACUGAAGGAUGAGCACUGUCACUGUACAUUUUAGAGUGGUCCUUAUUCUUUGUUGCAGUCUCCAAAUUCCCCAGCUUCUUAUUCAAAACUGAAAGUGGCCACUGACCACGCUUCUCUCUCCAAUCAGAAACAAGUAAACGUCACCUAAAAAUUAUGUUCCACAUACAUCUAAAAUCAAAAUACACAUAGCCCAGCUGCAGAACUUUGAAUUUUACUAAGCACCCCCCCCCCCCAACAGAUCCUUUAAGAAGCUUUUUAUUGCAUUUUCCAGCAUUUAGUGUCACUCCACUCUAUUCAAGGACCUGUUGGAGUACUGUUGCUUAAGUGAAUAUACACUUUAGUGGAAAGUGUGGAGACCCUGAGACCUGCACACAAUGGUAUAAAACAAGCAGUGGGGCUACUGCAGUUUUUGAACCAAGUAUAUUUAAGCAUAAAGAUUUCACCAAUGAAGUAACUCACCAAAUUAGCCUAUGACUAAGUGUCCCAGUGACACUAAACGUGUUAGGCGUGAGAUGUUUAUAAUCUAAAUAAAACUUUCAUAUUUUUA